AUAACCCUGAGAGAGGCUGGAGCCUCUCGUUUUUUGUGCAGUUUAGGAGCUAAAGGGAACAGAAUGGAUAAAAUGGAACAAAUGUGUUUUCUAAUCUGUUAGACUGUAUCUAGAAAGGGGAAAUUAUGAUUAAAGAAUUGUAUGAAGAAGUCCAAGGGACUGUGUAUAAGUGUAGAAAUGAAUAUUACCUUCAUUUAUGGGAAUUGUCGGAUUGGGACCAAGAAGGCAUGCUCUGCUUACAUGAAUUGAUUAGUAGAGAAGAAGGACUGGCAGACGAUAUUCCACGUUUAAGGAAAUAUUUCAAAACCAAGUUUCGAAAUCGAAUUUUAGACUAUAUCCGUAAGCAGGAAAGUCAGAAGCGUAGAUACGAUAAAGAACCCUAUGAAGAAGUGGGUGAGAUCAGUCAUCGUAUAAGUGAGGGAGGUCUCUGGCUAGAUGAUUAUUAUCUCUUUCAUGAAACACUAAGAGAUUAUAGAAACAAACAAAGUAAAGAGAAACAAGAAGAACUAGAACGCGUCUUAAGCAAUGAACGAUUUCGAGGGCGUCAAAGAGUAUUAAGAGACUUACGCAUUGUGUUUAAGGAGUUUACUAUCCGUACCCACUAGUAAGUCAUGCAAAAAAAAUGAAAAAAAUUAGAAAAAGUAGUUGACAAAGUUUGAAAAGACUGUAUAAUAGUAAGAGUUGAAAAUAACAACUCAGGUCCGUUGGUCAAGGGGUUAAGACACCGCCUUUUCACGGCGGUAACACGGGUUCGAAUCCCGUACGGACUAUGGUAUGUUGCGGUUGGAACACUUGAUGAAAAAAGUUUAAAAAAACUUAAAAAUCUUCAAAAAAGUGUUGACAAGUGAAAGUGGCUGUGAUAUACUAAUAUAGUUGUCGCUUGAGAGAAGCAAGUGACAAAGACCUUUGAAAACUGAACAAGACGAACCAAUGUGCAGGGCGCUACAACAUAAGUUGUAGUACUGAACAAUGAAAAAAACAAUAAAUCUGUCAGUGACAGAAAUGAGUGAGAACUCAAACUUUUAAUGAGAGUUUGAUCCUGGCUCAGGACGAACGCUGGCGGCGUGCCUAAUACAUGCAAGUAGAACGCUGAAGGAGGAGCUUGCUUCUCUGGAUGAGUUGCGAACGGGUGAGAAUCCUGUCCACCGUAAGACUAAGGUUCCAGGGGAAGCUCGUCCGCCCUGGGUUAGUCGGGACCUAAGGAGAGACCGAAAGGUGUAUCCGUUGGACAACAGGUUGAUAUUCCUGUACUAGAGUAUGUAGUGAUGGAGGGACGCAGUAGGCUAACUAAAGCAGACGAUUGGAAGAGUCUGUCUAAGCAGUGAGGUGUGAAUUGAGUCAAAUGCUUAAUUCUAUAACAUUGAGCUGUGAUGGGGAGCGAAGUUUAGUAGCGAAGUUAGUGACGUCACACUGCCAAGAAAAGCUUCUAGCGUUUAAACAUACUCUACCCGUACCGCAAACCGACACAGGUAGUCGAGGCGAGUAGCCUCAGGUGAGCGAGAGAACUCUCGUUAAGGAACUCGGCAAAAUGACCCCGUAACUUCGGGAGAAGGGGUGCUGACUUAAAGUCAGCCGCAGUGAAUAGGCCCAAGCAACUGUUUAUCAAAACACAGCUCUCUGCUAAAUCGUAAGAUGAUGUAUAGGGGGUGACGCCUGCCCGGUGCUGGAAGGUUAAGAGGAGUGCUUAGCGUAAGCGAAGGUAUGAAUUGAAGCCCCAGUAAACGGCGGCCGUAACUAUAACGGUCCUAAGGUAGCGAAAUUCCUUGUCGGGUAAGUUCCGACCCGCACGAAAGGCGUAAUGAUUUGGGCACUGUCUCAACGAGAGACUCGGUGAAAUUUUAGUACCUGUGAAGAUGCAGGUUACCCGCGACAGGACGGAAAGACCCCAUGGAGCUUUACUGCAGUUUGAUAUUGAGUGUCUGUACCACAUGUACAGGAUAGGUAGGAGUCUAAGAGAUCGGGACGCCAGUUUCGAAGGAGACGCUGUUGGGAUACUACCCUUGUGUUAUGGCCACUCUAACCCAGAUAGGUGAUCCCUAUCGGAGACAGUGUCUGACGGGCAGUUUGACUGGGGCGGUCGCCUCCUAAAAGGUAACGGAGGCGCCCAAAGGUUCCCUCAGAAUGGUUGGAAAUCAUUCGCAGAGUGUAAAGGUAUAAGGGAGCUUGACUGCGAGAGCUACAACUCGAGCAGGGACGAAAGUCGGGCUUAGUGAUCCGGUGGUUCCGUAUGGAAGGGCCAUCGCUCAACGGAUAAAAGCUACCCUGGGGAUAACAGGCUUAUCUCCCCCAAGAGUUCACAUCGACGGGGAGGUUUGGCACCUCGAUGUCGGCUCGUCGCAUCCUGGGGCUGUAGUCGGUCCCAAGGGUUGGGCUGUUCGCCCAUUAAAGCGGCACGCGAGCUGGGUUCAGAACGUCGUGAGACAGUUCGGUCCCUAUCCGUCGCGGGCGUAGGAAAUUUGAGAGGAUCUGCUCCUAGUACGAGAGGACCAGAGUGGACUUACCGCUGGUGUACCAGUUGUCUUGCCAAAGGCAUCGCUGGGUAGCUAUGUAGGGAAGGGAUAAACGCUGAAAGCAUCUAAGUGUGAAACCCACCUCAAGAUGAGAUUUCCCAUGAUUAUAUAUCAGUAAGAGCCCUGAGAGAUGAUCAGGUAGAUAGGUUAGAAGUGGAAGUGUGGCGACACAUGUAGCGGACUAAUACUAAUAGCUCGAGGACUUAUCCA
RNAcentral lists this ribosomal RNA (2720 nucleotides) under Streptococcus pneumoniae GA04216. Its description in RNAcentral is "bacterial LSU rRNA". The stretch from base 950 to 2719 matches the Rfam family "Bacterial large subunit ribosomal RNA". Lineage: Bacteria; Bacillati; Bacillota; Bacilli; Lactobacillales; Streptococcaceae. The record is from RNAcentral.